AUUGAACGCUGGCGGCAGGCCUAACACAUGCAAGUCAAGCGGAUGAAGGGAGCUUGCUCCUGGAUUCAGCGGCGGACGGGUGAGUAAUGCCUAGGAAUCUGCCUGGUAGUGGGGGAUAACGUCCGGAAACGGGCGCUAAUACCGCAUACGUCCUGAGGGAGAAAGUGGGGGAUCUUCGGACCUCACGCUAUCAGAUGAGCCUAGGUCGGAUUAGCUAGUUGGUGGGGUAAAGGCCUACCAAGGCGACGAUCCGUAACUGGUGUGAUAGGAUGAUCAGUCACACUGGAAGUGAGACACGGUCCUGACUCCUACGGGAGGCAGCAGUGGGGAAUAUUGGACAAUGGUCGAAAGCCUGGUCCAGCCAUGCCGCGUGUGUGAAGAAGGUCUUCGGAUUGUAAAGCACUUUAAGUUGGGAGGAAGGGCAGUAAGUUAAUACCUUGCUGUUUUGACGUUACCAACAGAAUAAGCACCGGCUAACUUCGUG
This 484-nucleotide ribosomal RNA is filed under the name uncultured bacterium. RNAcentral's name for it is "partial 16S ribosomal RNA". It matches the Rfam family "Bacterial small subunit ribosomal RNA", at positions 30 to 507 of the family's 1533-position model. The record is from RNAcentral.